GAUAAACGCUGGCGGCGUGCUUAACACAUGCAAGUCGAACGAAGUUUUUCCUUCGGGAGAAACUUAGUGGCGGACGGGUGAGUAACGCGUGGGUAACCUGCCCUGUCCAGGGGGACAACAGCUGGAAACGGCUGCUAAUACCGCAUAAGCCCUUAGCACUGCAUGGUGCAUAGGGAAAAGGAGCAAUCCGGUACAGGAUGGAACCGCGUCUGAUUAGCCAGUUGGCAGGGUAACGGCCUACCAAAGCGACGAUCAGUAGCCGAUCUGAGAGGAUGUACGGACACAUUGGGACUGAGACACGGCACAGACUCCUACGGGAGGCAGCAGUGGGGAAUAUUGCAAAAUGGAGGAAACUCUGAUGCAGCGACGACGCGUGAGUGAAGAAGUAUUUCGGUAUGUAAAGCUAUAUCAGCAGGGAAGAAAAUGACGGUACCUGACUAAGAAGCACCGGCUAAAUACGUG
RNAcentral lists this ribosomal RNA (462 nucleotides) under uncultured bacterium. RNAcentral describes it as "partial 16S ribosomal RNA". It matches the Rfam family "Bacterial small subunit ribosomal RNA", at positions 28 to 507 of the family's 1533-position model. The record is from RNAcentral.